Molecule: ribosomal RNA, 253 nt
Filed under: uncultured Acidisoma sp.
Lineage: Bacteria; Pseudomonadati; Pseudomonadota; Alphaproteobacteria; Acetobacterales; Acidocellaceae
Description: partial 16S ribosomal RNA
Rfam family: Bacterial small subunit ribosomal RNA
Source: RNAcentral
UACGAAGGGGGCUAGCGUUGCUCGGAAUGACUGGGCGUAAAGGGCGCGUAGGCGGUUUCCAAAGUCGGGCGUGAAAUUCCCGGGCUCAACCCGGGGGCUGCGCUUGAUACUUGGAGACUGGAGUGAGGAAGAGGGUCGUGGAAUUCCCAGUGUAGAGGUGAAAUUCGUAGAUAUUGGGAAGAACACCAGUGGCGAAGGCGGCGACCUGGUCCUUGACUGACGCUGAGGCGCGAAAGCGUGGGGAGCAAACAGG